AUUGAACGCUGGCGGCAUGCCUAACACAUGCAAGUCGAACGGAGGUAGGGGCAACUCUACUUCAGUGGCGGACGGGUGAGGAAUGCGUCGGAAUCUACCCUAUGGUGGGGGAUAACACAGGGAAACUUGUGCUAAUACCGCAUAAUGUCGAGAGACCAAAGCAGGGGACCGCAAGGCCUUGCGCGAUAGGAUGAGCCGACGCCCGAUUAGCUAGUUGGUAGGGUAAAGGCCUACCAAGGCGACGAUCGGUAGCUGGUCUGAGACGAUGAUCAGCCACACUGGGACUGAGACACGGCCCAGACUCCUACGGGAGGCAGCAGUGGGGAAUAUUGGACAAUGGGCGCAAGCCUGAUCCAGCAAUGCCGCGUGUGUGAAGAAGGUCUGCGGGUUGUAAAGCACUUUUGUUCGGGAAGAAAUCAUGCUGGUUAAUACCUGGUAUGGAUGACGGUACCGAAAGAAUAAGCACCGGCUAACUUCGUGCCAGCAGCCG
Molecule: ribosomal RNA, 490 nt
Filed under: uncultured bacterium
Lineage: Bacteria
Description: bacterial SSU rRNA
Rfam family: Bacterial small subunit ribosomal RNA
Source: RNAcentral